UGGGGGAUAUUGCACAAUGGGCGAAAGCCUGAUGCAGCGACGCCGCGUGGGGGAUGAAGGCCUUCGGGUUGUAAACUUCUUUUGCUCUGAACAAGGCGCACCAUGGGGUAUGUUGAGUGUAGGGGUUGAUUAGCGCCGGCUAACUACGUGCCAGCAGCCGCGGUAAUACGUAGGGCGCGAGCGUUGUCCGGAAUUAUUGGGCGUAAAGGGCUUGUAGGUGGCUGGUUGCGUCUGUCGUGAAAGCUCAUGGCUUAACUGUGGGUUUGCGGUGGGUACGGGCUGGCUUGAGUGCAGUAGGGGAGGCUGGAAUUCCUGGUGUAGCGGUGGAAUGCGCAGAUAUCAGGAGGAAUACCGGUGGCGAAGGCGGGUCUCUGGGCUGUUACUGACACUGAGGAGCGAAAGCAUGGGGAGCGAACAGG
RNAcentral lists this ribosomal RNA (419 nucleotides) under bacterium. RNAcentral describes it as "partial 16S ribosomal RNA". It matches the Rfam family "Bacterial small subunit ribosomal RNA", at positions 355 to 776 of the family's 1533-position model. The record is from RNAcentral.